This 355-nucleotide transfer RNA is filed under the name uncultured Microcystis sp. RNAcentral describes it as "partial 16S-23S ribosomal RNA intergenic spacer". The stretch from base 133 to 206 matches the Rfam family "tRNA". Lineage: Bacteria; Bacillati; Cyanobacteriota; Cyanophyceae; Chroococcales; Microcystaceae. The record is from RNAcentral.
AAGGGAGACCUAAUUCGGGUAUAAGACGAAAAAAGAGUAGUCGAAACCAAGAAUCAAUCCCAAAAGGUCGGAACGAGGUAUGUGGCUUUCAAACUAGGUUCUGGGUUCACACAAGACCUGAAUCAGGAACAAGGGCUAUUAGCUCAGGUGGUUAGAGCGCACCCCUGAUAAGGGUGAGGUCCCUGGUUCGAGUCCAGGAUGGCCCACCUGCACAGGUGGCAAAAACAAAGAAGCGAGGAAUCAGCACCUUAUCUUAUCUAUAUAUAAGAGAGAAUGCUGGCUCUGAGUAAAGAGUCCAGAGGAACCUUGAAAACUGCAUAGAGCUAGGCGAAAAAGCCAAAAAAGAAGACCGCAA